CGGAAGUAGCUCAGUUGAUAGAGCAUUAGCCUUCCAAGCUGAGGGUCGCGGGUUUGAGUCCCGUCUUCCG
This 70-nucleotide transfer RNA is filed under the name Tannerella forsythia. It matches the Rfam family "tRNA". From Rfam's summary of the family: Transfer RNA (tRNA) molecules are approximately 80 nucleotides in length. The record is from RNAcentral. Lineage: Bacteria; Pseudomonadati; Bacteroidota; Bacteroidia; Bacteroidales; Tannerellaceae. RNAcentral also lists the same sequence under 26 other names.